RNAcentral lists this long non-coding RNA (4941 nucleotides) under Homo sapiens (human). RNAcentral's name for it is "HSALNT0268074". Lineage: Eukaryota; Metazoa; Chordata; Mammalia; Primates; Hominidae. The record is from RNAcentral.
UUUUUUUCAGAAGAGGUGGUGAGUGUGUGGCUGACAGCAGGGGCUCUGGUGCAGGGUGACCUGAUCCAGUCCUGAUGAUGCCAAUUUCUACACAAGCAACCACCUUUCUGUGCCUCUGUGUUUUCAUCUGCAAAAUGGGGACGGUGAGGUAGUAGUGCCUGUGUUUUGGAGAGUAUAUGAUUUAAUACACAUGGAGUACGGGGAACAGCGCCUGGCCUAAAGUGAGUCCAAGAUAACAACGGCCUUGUUUCAUUACACGUGGUCCUGGCUGGGAAGAAAAGACACCACAGUUUGAUAAGAGGGGCCUUGGGGGACCUGACCUGGGCCCUGGGCCUGGGCGAGGAGGUGAUGAGGACACAGGAGAAUCCCCCCAAGGAGGUGACAUUCAUCUGAGAUGUGACAGGUGACGAGGCUCCUGGAGGUGGAAGAAAACAAACAGAAAGCUUAGAUGCAAAUGUGACUUCAUGCCCAAGUGUUCGUGAGAACCAAUAUACGCCAAGAAAGAGAAAGCCGGGUGGUGCCCCAGAUAAUUCGGGUGAAAAAGACUUCUACCAGAAAAUCAAAGACAUCCAGGCACAGCUUGAGGAUGCAGCCGUAGUCCAUCCAUCGUGUCUUCUUGUGAAUGAGCCUCAAGUUUCUUAGCAACACAGGACACGCUAAGUGUCCCUGUGACAUUCAGUGGAAAUGUUGAAGCAUCACUGAAAUUCCUUGAGCCAAGGUGCACCUGUUCAGGUCUCAAGACCUUUUCUGAGAGCUGGGCAGACCACCUUCCCUCACUGGGCUUCAGCUUCCUUAUUUAAAACUACACAUUCCUUUGGACAUUCCUUGUUUCUGCCCAAUGCAAGAUAAAGGAGAGGUGGCAGAAAAGUUGAACUUGUUUCUGCUGGUGUUCCCGGAAGAAAAAUCUUGAUCUCAGGGCAUCCUGAGGUGUGUCCUUGGGAGAAUGGAUCCUUGAUGUUAUGAAUGAAUUGUGUAGGAAUCGCACCCUCUAAUGGAAAGUCGAACUUUCAGACUCGCCAAAAAUCCAAAAAGAGGGUUCUGAAGUGUAUGUGGAAUCUUCAUGUGUCUUUUUGCAAGGACAUUACUCAUUCAUUCCCAAGGCAUUGGGCCGUUCCACUGUAAUUCACAGUUAGUUGGUUAAUUGCUGGUGUAGACCCCAACAUUUAGAUAUCCUACUUCCUUGCAAGCAGAGCCCUGGUUUUGCUCAGAUGCUGGGAAGCAAUGUGCUCUCUGACACCAGGGAGUGGAUUACCAUUGGUCUGAGCCCAGCAUGGCAGUCUCACUUACUUUUAGUAAUUGGCUUGGAGGGGACAUUGAGUCAGGGCUAGUCAAUGAGAUGUAAUUUGGGAGUCUAUUGGUGGGGGCUUCUGGGGUCUCUAAGGGGAUCUGUGAGGAGCAACUCUCUCUUUUCUCUCUUCUUUAUUCUGGUCAUGGUUCUGAGUGGAUGUCUUGGCAGGUGAGAUGGCAGCCAUCUUGUCUCUAUGAGGGCACAAGGCAGAGGAGAAGGCUGGCACACAGAGGAAGGGAGAGCAGAGCCAGGGGGCAUCAGCAGCAAGUGGCUGAGGUGACCAGCAGGGGACUUGCCUACGUGUGGCUCUCAGACCUUUCCUUAUUGCUGCAAGCAUUUCCCUCUGAGAAGGACCAGCUCUACCCACACUCUACCACUCCAUCUGCAAGCCCAGAGGUGCCCAGGAGUCCCUUGGCCUCCAUAUGAAGCUACCCCUUCCCUGGCCCACACCUCAGCUGACAGGGGCUGAUAGGAAGCUCCACAAUGCUGCGUGAGCCUGGAAAGAUCCCCACCUUCCUGCUCCUAAAGACACACCUUCCCCACCACAUUCCACCCUGAGAGCAUGGAAUUAAUCACCGGAUACCUUCUAUUCCUGUUGAAGUCCAUCUCCUCGUGAAGCCCGCCUCCUGGGUCAUCCUUUGUCCCCUGGACUCUCAGCCCUACAUGACCCAGUGGGAAAUGAGGCCUGAGCCCUAUUUCUCUGGCCCUUCCUGCCCUGUUUCUGUGUCAGUUUCCUUUGUAGCAUUGUCAUUGUCUGACUCAGUCUUUCCUGGGGAUCCUGGAGACAAUCAUCUUAGCCCAGGUCUCCUCACCCAGAGCCAAGGCCAACUGAAAGAGUCAGUGCCUUUGGGGCGCAGUGCCUUCGGGGCAGAUGCAGCCCCAGGGGUCCAGGGUGGGGAAACGGGAAGCGAGGUGGGGAGGCUGGGAAGUGAUGACUGAGCUGAUGACAGCCUCCCAAAGACCCAGCUGGUCACCAGGUCACGUGGAGCAUUUCCAGACAAGCUGUGCAGAAACGCUCCCCACAGGAUGGCCCAUAUGGGGAUGGUUGGGAGGGGCCAUUUAUAGCUAAUCUCUCUUUUUUCCUCUCCCUUGAGGGUGCAGGUUUGCUCUUCAGGGAGUCGUCUCUUUCUUUUCUUUUCUUUUCUUUUUUUUCUUGUUGAGACUGAGUCUUGCUCUGUCAUCCAGGCUGGAGUGCAGUGGCAUGAUCUCAGCUCACUGCAACCUCCACCUCCAGGGUUCAAAUGAUUCUCCUGCCUCAGACUCCCGAGUAGCUGGGAUUACAGGUGCCUACCACCAUGCCUGACUAAUUUUUGUAUUUUUAGUAGAGACGGGGUUUCACCAUGUUGGGCCAGGCUGGUCUUGAACUCCUGACUUCAAGUGAUCCACUUGCCUCGGCCUCCCAGAGUGCUGGGAUUACAGGCAUGAGCCACCACACCUGGCCGAGUCUUCUCUUUCUUAACACCAGGGUGCAUCACCCAGUCCCUUGGCAGCUGCUGGGGAAUCCAGAUCCCACGCUCAUUUUUGUGGCAACUUAGCUGAAUCCAGAAUUGGUGGAGGAUCCAGAAUCUUGGGGCGUCGGUCUCAGGCCGUGUGUGGUGUAAGGCCUGAAACUGAAGUGUAAUAUUAAGUACGGCCUUGAUGUCUUUGAGCUUCACAGGGCUGCAGAGGCCAAACUACUAGUUCCCUUCCCUCACCAAUAUGCUCCCAGCUCAGUGGGAAAGACUCCCACCUGGUAGGUUUACCUGUCAACUGGAGCAGCCACGCUCCACCUGGUCCUCAGCUUAACUGGCUUCACCUCUCUGCCCACAGGAACCAGGGGUACCUCACCCCGUUGUUACUUCAAGGUCUGCCUCCCACAGCCCCUCCUGUUCUCUCUGUUCCCAGGUGCACACCCUGUGGCUCUGCAGGGCGCGUGUUAUCCUCCCCUGCGGGCUGUAUUUGUGGCCGACCCACUGCCCGUCUCAUGUGUGCAGCGCUGGGUGUUGUGUGCUCGGCCAUCUCAUACUAUUUAGGGCGAGGAUGCAUCCCUCACCGAUGGGGUGAACGGGAGGUAGUCGGAACACAGUGGUGUCCUGUGGACCUGCGCUGAGUCAGUUCCUGCAGUGGAAGCUGGGGAAACCAGAGGUGACACGCUGCAUGGGUCUGAUACACAGCCCGGAGAGUUUGCAUCUCAUUUGCUUGACAGUUUUUCUCUAGUGGAAAAUAUACUUAUUUUUUUUUCUUUUUCUUUUCUUUUCUUUUUUUUUUUUUUUGAGAUGGAGUCUCACUCUGUUGCCCAGGCUGGAGUGCAGUGUCACGAUCUUCGCUCACUGCAAGCUCCGCCUCCUGGGUUCACACCAUUCUCCUGCCUCAGCCUCCCGAGUAGCUGGGACUACAGGUGCCCACCACCACGCCUGGCUAAUUUUUUGUAUUUUUAGUAGAGACGGGGUUUCACUGUGUUAGCCAGAGUGGUCUCAAUCUCCUGACCUUGUGAUCCACCUGCCUUGGCCUCCCAAAGUGCUGGGAUUACAGGCAUGAGCCACCGCGCCUGGCCCAAACUACUUUUUAAUGAAUGGCCUCUUCGGAAACUGCUCAAGGGGGAAAGAUGACUCUGGUUCUUGCAGCCAAAGUCUGUUUCCCUUUGCACUAAGACUGAUUUGUAAUACUCAUCAUAGCCGUUCAUUUUACUUUUGUGGAAUGAAUUCCAGGAGAAUUUCUCUUUUACAAGCCUAUCAAAUAUUAGGUGGUUUUGAGCAAGAGCUUUCAUAAGCAGUGUGUCAGGCUAACCCGCAAUAAUGUGAGAAAUUUAAAAAAUAAUUUGAUUAUUUUCCUUACCUCUGCCUCCCCAGUGAAUGGGAUGACGUGAAAAGUGUGAUGGGGAUGACUUCAGAGGCAAGGCUCCGUCUUCACAGAGAGAGGCCAUGCAGCCUGGCUUCACCCAGUCAGACCACAUCUGUGAUUUUCUUGCUCUCCUUUUAGCCUGACACACUUUGUUUCUUCAUUUCACUUUGAUUUUUGAGAUAUAAAUCGAAAUCCACAUACAAUUCACACUUUAACAGUAUAAAAUUCAGUGUUUUUUAGUAUUUGCAAGGUUGUGCAACCUUCAAUAUCAAAUCCCAGAACAUUAUUAUUGCCAAAAAGAAACCUUGUACCCAUUAGCAGUCAUUCUCCAACUGUCCUAGGGAAUUACUAAUUUAUUUUCUGUCUCUAUGGACUUGGCUGUUAUGGACAUUUCAUAAAUGGGACCAUAUACGAUGUGAUCUUUUGUGUCUGGCUUUUUUCACUUGCUAUAAUGUUCUCAAGGUUCAUUCACAUUGUAGCAUGAAUCAGCAUUUCAUUCCUUUUUAUGCCUGAAUAAUAUUCCAUUGCAUGGAUAACUGUCAUUUUUGUUUGUUUGUUUUAUUAUGUGUUUUUGAGACAGGGUCUUGCUCUGUCACCCAGUCUGGAGUACAGUAGCAUAAUCUCAGCUUGCUCCAACCUCCACCUCCUGGGUUCAAGCGAUUCUCAUGCCUCAGCCUCCUGAGUAGCUGGGAUCACAGGCAUAUGCCACUACACCGUGCUAAUUUUUGCACUUUUAGUAGAGAUGGGGUUUCACCAUGUUGUCCAGGUUGGUCUUGAACUCCUGGUAUCAAGUGAUCUGCCUACCUCGGCCUCCCAAAGUACUGGGAUUACAG